UGUGGGAGCGAGCUUGCUCGCGAUGGCGGUGGGUCAGCUUGCCUAAAUGUUGAAUGGGCUGCCGUCAUCGCGAGCAAGCUCGCUCCCACA
Molecule: unclassified non-coding RNA, 90 nt
Filed under: Pseudomonas thivervalensis
Lineage: Bacteria; Pseudomonadati; Pseudomonadota; Gammaproteobacteria; Pseudomonadales; Pseudomonadaceae
Source: RNAcentral